Molecule: ribosomal RNA, 422 nt
Filed under: uncultured bacterium
Lineage: Bacteria
Description: partial 16S ribosomal RNA
Rfam family: Bacterial small subunit ribosomal RNA
Source: RNAcentral
AAUUUUGGGCAAUGGCCGAAAGGCUGACCCAGCGACGCCGCGUGCGGGAGGACGCCCUUCGGGGUNUAAACCGCUGUCAGAGGGGANGAAAGGCCGGGGUGGGAAUACUGCCCUGGAGUGACGGUACCUAAGGAGGAAGCACCGGCUAACUACGUGCCAGCAGCCGCGGUAAUACGUAGGGGGCAAGCGUUGUCCGGAAUUAUUGGGCGUAAAGGGUGCGUAGGCGGCCUUUUAAGUCAGGUGUGAAAGCCCACGGCUUAACCGUGGGAUUGCAUUUGAAACUGGAAGGCUUGAGUAUCGGAGAGGGUAGUGGAAUUCCCAGUGUAGCGGUGGAAUGCGUAGAUAUUGGGAGGAACACCAGUGGCGAAGGCGACUGCCUGGACGAAAACUGACGCUGAGGCACGAAAGCUAGGGGAGCAAAC